CAGACACAAUGGGAGGUGAAACUUCAGGGGAGGAUGGUGUGAUAGUGCCUGAGGUGGGUUCAAGGAUGAGAUGGAGAUGUUUGAGCUUACAAAAGGUAUGCCUAUGCAAUAGACUUUCCUGUGAAGAAAAGAAAUUCAAAAAAGGGGGGACGAUGGAGUCGUGAGGUAUGUCACAUUGACAUAUAGCCGUGAAGGCCGAAGAUGCGUUAAUACAAGCUGUCCAUUGAAGCCUCAACCAACAAUUCAUAUAGGUUGUAAAGCUAGGAUCUCUGCAUCUUCAGAUAUCCAUAGAACCUAGAGAAUUAACAUGGUCCACCUUGACCAUAAUCAUGAAACUAGCCCGUCGAAGUCAAGAUUAUAUCGAUGCAAUCGAGAACUGAGUGCACAUGUCAAAUGUAGACUUGAAGUGAAUGAUAUGCCAUGAUUUUCAUUCAACAAAAGUUACAACUCUGCUGUUGUAGAAGCAGGCAGAUAUGAGAACAUGACAUGCAUUGAGAAAGACUGUCGAAACUAUAUAGAACAAGUGAGGCGACUAAAGCUCGCGGAAGGAGAUGUCGCAGCAAUACAAUCAUACUUAUAAAAAAUGCAAGCUUAAUGCUCGGGUUUUUACUUUAGUAUGGAUGUGGAUGACGAGUCACGAUUGAAAAAUGUUUUCUGGGUAGAUAAUCGUAGUAGACAAUCAUAUAAGGAGUUCGAGGAUGUCGUUACGUUCGAUACUACUUAUUUGACUAAUAAGUAAGACAUGCAUUUCGCUCUAUUUGUUGGUGUCAAUCAUCAUGGGCAGUCAAUAUUCCUUGGUAGUGGUUUGUUGUCGAAUGAAUAUACAAAUACUUUCGUUUGGUUGUUUCAGACAUGGCUUCAGUGCAUACAAGGUCAAGCUCCACAAGGGAUAAUUAAGGAUCAAGAUCGAGCCAUGCAAAACGCAAUUCAAAUUGUUUUUCCAAGUACAAAACACAGAUAGUGCUUGUGGCAUAUUCUAAAAAAGUCGCUAGAGAAGUUUGGCUACCACUUGGAUAAGGCUUCAAUAUUUGGGGCUAUACAUGAAUUGGUGUAUGAAUCACAGUUUGUUGAAGAAUUUGAGAGUGGUUGGAGAGUAAUGAUUGACACGUAUGCCUUCCAGGAUAAUGAUUGGUUAUCGGGAUUGUAUGAGAAUAGAGCUCGUUGGGUUCCGUGCUAUUUCAAAACUUCUUUUUGGGCUGGGAUAUCGACUACACAAAGAAGUGGGAGUAUGAAUGCAUUUUUUGAUGGAUAUGUGCAUUCUAAGAUAUCUCUCAAGCAAUUUUUGGAAUAGUAUGAGUGUGCACUGAGGAGUAAGGUUGAAAAGGUAUUCCAGGUAGAUUUCAGGUUGUUCUCGCAACUGGUACCUUGUGCAACGCAAUUUGAAAUGGAACAGCAGUUUCAGUCAGUUUACACCAUCUCCAAGUUUAGGGAGUUUACGGAAAAUGUUUAUUGUGAUAUCAUAGCU
This 1465-nucleotide long non-coding RNA is filed under the name Olea europaea subsp. europaea. The record is from RNAcentral. Lineage: Eukaryota; Viridiplantae; Streptophyta; Magnoliopsida; Lamiales; Oleaceae.